Non-coding RNA from Microcebus murinus (gray mouse lemur), 1153 nucleotides. NCBI's taxonomy places the organism in Eukaryota, Metazoa, Chordata, Mammalia, Primates, Cheirogaleidae. The record is from RefSeq and is a predicted model, not a curated record.
AGGAGCCCCUAGGAGCGCCAAGGAGCCCCAAGGAGCAACAAGGAGCACCAAAGAGCUCCAGCCACCAGCAGCAGCAGCUAAAAGAGAGCCUUGGGAAACGGACAUCCUGUCUAAGUGGGAACAUCUGGGCCGGGCGCCAGGGUGGACCGGCCUGAGUGCAGCAGCGGAAGGGAUUUACUGCCAGCGAUCAGAAACUGGGAAUGGAGCAUGUAAGAGAACACGGCAUGUAAGAGAACACGGCAUGUAAGAGAACACGGCAAGGCCAGAGAAGCACCUGCUUCCCGCAAGCCCUCGACACCUGGGCUGACCACGAGCGCGGCUCUGCAGCUGUGUUGUUGUUACUUUGGGAAUGUUCUAGAAGUCCCAGACCCCAGGGGAAGAAAGGUCCAACUUGGGGUCCCCAGCCUGGGGAGCACCCACUGCCUGUCUGUUCCCUCCAAGGGCCUGGAGGAGCUGGGUCGGCACCCGGGGGCUCCCCACUCCGGGACGGCCGGGGCCUGCAGGUUCUGGCCCCCAAAGGCCCCCCAUGCCCUGCAGCUACCAGGCCAGGGUUCCUUGAGGUGGCACCUUCACCACCCCUGAGGUGCGGGAGCCCACGGGCAGGGGUAUGUUGGCCGGAAGGGCAAAGUCCCCCACCACGCUGGUCCCCCCUGGACUCAGGGAGGGAAGGGACUGCGGCUUCCCCAGGUGCCAAGUCCCGGAGCCUUCCUCAGUCCCAGGGUCACGCCAGCUGGGACGUUCCUGCUGAUCAGAGCGGGACACACAGGGUGGAAUCGGCGAGUGGCAGCUCAAAGGAGCAGGGAGGGUGGAGGCCAGUGAUGGGCGAGGAAAACCCAGACAGGCUACUGUGGGGCGCAGAGGGGCAGAGCCCCGGCCCCCACUGCGGCCACCUUCCCUCGGGCGGCAGGUGGGACCUGGCCACGCCUGGGCGCGGAGAUGCGCCUGACCAGGAGAAGCGUUGCUCCCCAGCUCUGCGAGACCCACGGGAAGAGUGACACCACGUCUGUGUCCCAGGAGCUCCCCGAGGAGGGGACAGGCACAGGCGCUUGGCUGGGUCCCCCAGGGGGGCUUUGCGGUCAGCUCUGAUGCUCAGCACUGUUAGCACUGGGGGCACAAAACCCUCACUGUGGGGAGCUGCCGUGUGCCUUGUGGG